Molecule: long non-coding RNA, 703 nt
Filed under: Vigna radiata
Lineage: Eukaryota; Viridiplantae; Streptophyta; Magnoliopsida; Fabales; Fabaceae
Description: long non-coding RNA (VRAD_LNC013893)
Source: RNAcentral
AUGUAUACAACUUUCCUGUUUUUCAGUUUCUUCUUCUUCAAGAUCUAUGACUUCUCCGAGAUAAUACUUUAUUUGCUUGGAGUAAACAGGCAGUUGGUGGAGUACUUCAGUUGAAGGCAUAAUCUUCAUCUUGUUAAACAUCUCUCUAGAAUGCCCACAAUUUCUUUCUUUUCUCUCCUCUUCACUCUUAUUUUCUCUCUUCUCCUCCUCUUCAUCCUCACUACUCUCUAGCUCAAUUAUCUCUUUUUCCACUCCUCUCUCAUCUGUGCUCACCACAACUUUGCACUCUUCUUUAGGGUUAACAUCAGUAUUAGCCCUAAACUGAUUCUUUUCCAUGGCUUCCACCCUUUUUGAUAGUUGACCAAUUUGUAUUUCCAAAUUCCUAAAAUUGGCUUCAUUACUCUUAUAGUGAGAAUCAUACACCUUUAGGAAUUUAUCAAAUUUAUCAUUCAAGCUUCUUACAUUCUCAGUCAAACUAGCCACCUGCUACCAUAAGGGUGGUUGUUGUGGUCUGUCGAAAAGGCCUCUUAUCUGCCCAGAUGGGUUACUCUGAGUCUACCCAAUACUAGGGUGAUUCUUCCAACCUUGGCUAUAGUUGUGUUGGUUGAAGUUACCUUGUCUAUACUGGAACUGAUUCCCCAUAAAAUUAGCCUCUUCUUGUGCUUCUUUAGGUGCACCACAUUGACCAUUAAAUAAUCACCAC